AUCUAGGUUAUCAGAUAACAGAACUAUUCGCUCGCUGGGUAAAGCCUAUUUUCCAAAUUGUGCAUUAGCUGGGUUACAACCUUUAACCAUUUGGGCGACAGCGACUAGAAGUGCUUCUAGUUACCGUACGGAAAUAAUGAGCGUGACCGCUUGAUGGACCCGAUGUCGUUUCUUGCGGCCGCAGUUCGUGGCCGAUGUCGCGCGCCCCGUGCGGUUCUUUUUGCAAGCAGCAGUGUGAACCUGGUCGAAACGGCUUUGGCGUGUUCGGUACGCGCGAAAAAUUGAUUUUACACGGUCCUCGCGUACAGCUAUGAUUUUCUGCGCCCUUGAAGCGUUUGUCCUCAAGUCUCGACUUCCUCAGAUAGUAUCGCUUACUACGAAGUGUGCGUUAAGCGGUUUGUAGGUACAGUAAUGAGAACGGGACUUAUGAAUGAGAAAAGGAACUAAAAGUACUUAAUAGGAAGUGGCACGGUCGAUCUACCGAGAGGUUAUGUAGUCGAUUGUGUACAGAUUACCGUAACGGUAUUCCACCCUCGUAUAAGAAACUAUAACCGGAACUGGUCUAUAAGCAGAAAGGAGAGCCAAGAGGACGGCAGGGCCAAUUGAUUUUUCAAGUUUCUUCGCUGCUGAAUAGCCUAACCUCUACGGCAGGUUGCAGAUCGAUAUGUUCCAGGUUGUACGGGCACUUGACUAACCUAACCUACGUAAGCAAAAUUGCGAUCUCUUUCGACUAUCUCUAAAUGUAUUUUCGGCCUGGCGUUCUCUCGGGGUCAGGGAUGCCAACGUUAUAACCGUGGGCGGUCAAGGGGUAUGUACCCGGACUACACGGAAGUUGGAGUGGCUCCGGAGGGAGGAGCUAAAUUCAGAGAUCAAUACGAGAAAAGCAUGACACGCGCUUGUGAAACCACGGCAGAGCGAUCGACGAUUCAGAAUGCGACAACUUGUCUAGAUCGAUCCAACUUUCUGUCGUGCCUGUGAAAAGAAAGGAAAGGUCAGGCUGUCAAUGAGCAUAGGUGAAAGUUAGACAGAGACACUUAAUAACAAUAGGACUACAUACUGUCCCACUAGUUGGCAAUUGGUACUGGGGUUUCAUUUCAGGUGACAGCUGACACAGAAGGAAAGAAUAUAAAAAACUGGAAAGUUUCCAUAUACAUUUAUCACUGUUGUACUACUGACUCCAGCUUAUUCUAUGGACAGCGUUACUUUAUAAUUGAGGGUAUGGGAGUUGACAAUUUCUUGGAAAAAUCAAGAUAUUCUCUAUAUAUCUUCACUAUAUUCAACAACAUUAGCUGCUGCUGGAGUCAGGAGGCAAAGGUCAAUUUUUCAUAAUUAAUCAUACUUCUGGGACGGAAAUUUUCAAACUAACACUGCACGCGGUACAUACGCAGCUCGCACAGUCCAGCAGGUUGCAAAGAGCAUUUAUUGUAUCAUGGCGUUGGUAUUGCUUGCGCAAUGCUUUGGUACAGAGCGUGUAAGAGCGUGAGUGCCAUGGCCAUUGGGACAACGGAGCGCAUAGCCAUGAGAGCAAAUGUUGUGACACAACACUCCAAAGCACACAGAUAUUGUGACAGUGCCCACCGGCCGAGGUUGAAAAGCUAGUGUGAGCAGAUAAUAACUGGAUGAAUUGCUGGAUGAUCAACUGAAUUAGACUGAAGAUCAUUAUAUUAUAUGCGUACAUCAGAGGGUUGUUCUCCUGGAUGUUGGUCGGCUGCGUCACGGCCGCCCUUCUAGGACGCCAUAGAGCAAAUCUUGCCAAUCCGUAUUUUGUCAUCACUUUGUGGGAUUUUCUUGAUUUCAGAUUUUUGGUAACGACGCCCAAACGAGUAGCGUCUGAGCAGCCUUGAUUGACCCAGGCUAUGAUGAGUUCAGGUGGGCAGCUAAUCACAUGGAAAGAACACCUAAAGAGGUAAGGAUGCCAAUAACUAUCCAACUCCGAUUUAACGAUGAUGGCGUCCUCUUGAUGGUUUAAAGUUUGUUUCUUUUUUUUCCAGUGAAUCGCUCACGUAAAUUCUUGCCGAGUGUCUCGUUGAGAUUCGAUGCACGUCACUGGAGAAGUAGUCAGGCGGCACGCCGUCAGUCGAGAGUCGUGAGCCAAGAGUCGAGACGCAAAGAAUGUAGAUCCGUAAAUCGUUCCGCCAAUCCGUGGCGGCACUGAGCUUGCGCAAUCCGCCCGACUGCCUGGAAUAAUUCAGUGACUUGAUCGGCCUAUGGAAUCUUGACGUAAUGCAAGUUUUAAAAGGCACGCGAUGUUGUACAUAUGCGGACGCAUCGAUUAUGUACGGUCACCGUGUUCUCGUGCCACUGGUCCACCUCGAUCGUCUCAUCCAAGUUCUCGACCUCGGCCACCUCCUCGUGCACCUCAGAGUAAUAUGUGACAUUCUCCAAUUAUGAUUAAUCUCUCUCUUGGUCUUCUUUCGCCACUUUCUCUUCUUCUUGUUCUAACUACUCUUCGUUGGAUAUGAUUGUAUCAGUGUUCAGACUUCCAUCGUUGAGGUGUUGUUCCAGGAGGUCCGCAGGAACCUGACGAGCUUGAAGCACGCCAGGUUUUUUCUACGUCUCCCACGUAGGCACGGAUCGAUUUCGUGACCGUCACCGGCGGCGGCUAGGUCACGGGGUGAAAGGGUGGAAAGGCAGGAAGGUGGAUAUCCAGUAAAGCAUAAAUGUGCGUCAUUGACAUGAACAUUGGGAACCUUGAUUCUUCACGAUUAACCGACUGUUUCUGUUCACAGCUCCUGACUCCAAGCACUUUGAGGUCAAGUUUGAUUCUGCUGAUUGAACUUGACAGUUGACAGUUUCCGGCAUAUCCGCGACACGCUGGCAAGUCAUUCAAUCACCGGGUGCCUCCACUUUGUGACUUUUAAGUCCAAAGCCUCUCAGAGGUAGCCAUGUUGCUUUUUUGGCUUCUCAACUUCCCUCACUGGCACACACUCUUUCGAUCUUUCAGCACUCGAAUGACUCUGAUGACUUCAGCCAGGCAUGUUCCUCCUGGAACAUUUUUCUUAAUGAUCCUGAAUCCUCAGGUGUGGCCGGUAGUUCAGCUGGCGUACCGCGACGAUCCAAACCCUUCGAGUCAGCCUAGAUAUUCUCGGGGUAUUCGAGGAGCUGCUACUUCGGCGAUUGCGCUCUACGCAGACUAUGCUACCCCGUGAACAAGGGUGGUUGGUUCCUGUUCUCCUUCCACUCUAUCGAUCGAGCCUCGUUCCUCCCACGGAAGAAAGAAUAGUCGGCAGAUCCCAUAAAUGUCAUCAUCAAAAAUAGCCCAGAUCAAGAUCCCAUCCCAUCCCAUCAUCUUCAAGAAAAAAAAUCACAGUACCAGUGAGCAGAAAAAGAUAUCUCAAACUGUUCUAGAAGUUGAUAGAACUUCUGACCUAUGAGCUAUCGCUCCAUUCAACCCUUCAUGAGAUAUUUCCUGAACAGAUGAUCUCUAUUCAUCUGUUUUUAAAUCUGUCCGCUGCGUGGCGCCACUGUCGAUCAAACGAGCUCGACCUCGAGCUUCCAAGACGGAAUCGUGCUCGAGGCAAGUUCCUCCCUCUCUGGGUACCCUCGCCCUCACCCUUGGUGCUUCGCCCCCAAUGAACUCUGACGAAGUGAUCGGUACCCGCUGCAUGAUGGCAGCACUGGCUAACCAGCAUAAACGCCAACCACGGCAGGUACAUCAACUACGAGUAGCUCGACCGAAGUAACGCCGCAACGUAUUGGAUCCACCGAGUUCGAAUGAGAAAUAAUCUCAAGAAUCCAGUCGGCCAGUCCCACCACCCACUCACUCCCACACCCGUCACACAUGUGUGUCAACGAUAACUAUACCGGAAGAAGAAUCCUCGAGCGAUGCUUGUGAAAGCAUUGUCUGGCAUGGAGUGUGCUUGACCUUCUCCUACAUAUCGAGUGGGUAUGAGCUAUGAGCUUGUACGACUUGCGACCUAAAGGCUCUUCUUACCGACCAAGCUACUACAUGAGUUAUCAGUGAAGGACAUCCUUAUGCCACAUACGUGGGCAUGGCUGCCUCUGUUAUCCUUUGUCGAGAAAGAUCUCUCUCGAAAAAUCUCCAUUCUAUGGACGUGCACGUUAUAUUAUAUGUAUAUAGACGUAUUCAGGCAUAUCACUUGUCAUACUGUAUAUCCACUCAUGAAAUGCCAAUCGGCUCUUUGUUGGCUAGAAGCAUACUUAAAACAUUUCGAGGUCCACCCAAUGAAUUUUCUCUCUUUCUCUCUCUCUCUCUCUCUCUCUCUCUCGUUUUUCUUUCUUUUCUCUCUCGCACGAGCGAUCUCCCUUGACCCCUUGACCCGGCUCACGACACAACUAGGACAUUGCGCCAGUUCGAUAUAUCAUCCCCACCCACCCUGUAACCUGGCUUCCUGAACGAUCUAACCAGUUGCCAUCUGGAAGAGAAUGCUUCUCUCCUGCCACCUUUGGGAAUCAUGCCUGAGGCUGACAUCCCUCCCCGCCGAUCCUUCUAUUUGGCUUCGGAGCUUUUCAAAACAUCUUGUUUACUUUGACUCGCUUUCAGCACGCGUGUCUCUGGCUGAAGCGGCAACUGGAUUUCUAGUAAUAGCCUCGACGCGCGGAUGAAGAUAUUUACUUUUAGGGUUUCCUGUUCAUCCGGGAGAGAAACAAUACUGACACGGCGAUUGUGCAUGACGCAACUAUGUUAUGCGGAUUAUUGGAGCUGAAAGGACUUACCUUAUUCUGCGCAAUUGUCGGACGCGUAUUACGUUCGCUUGGUGGUACUUUCAUGGUACUUUCACCGAUUGCCCAAUUUCUUUAAGUGACCUGAGUGCCGAGUGUUCGUGCAAAUAAAUUUGCUAUUACGUAUCUAUACGUAUAAGGAGCAUCGCUAUUUUGAGUUAUUACAUGCAACUUCAAUAUAUUAUAUUUUCAGAGUCGCGCGAAUCGAUAUAUAUAUAUAUAUAUAUAUAUAUAUAUAUAUAUAUAUAUAUCGAUUAUAUUAUUGAUAUCACAGGGUGGUCGAAAUAUGGCUACAUAGUCUGCUUUCUGAGAAAUCGUUGGAAAUAUGGAGUUGACUUUUUCUUUAAAUUAAAUGAGAUAAGAGGGUUGACUAUUUUACUUGUAAAAAAAUUUCGAGUGCCCCUACAUGGAGAUAGGGGACACUCAUUGUUUUUGAGUGGAGUGCAAAUAUUAGUUUAUUGGUAAAGCUUUUAUCAAAUUUGAUAAAAUUUGUUUGCAACAUUUUUUUAUAUGUUAAGUGGUUUUAUAUUUAAUUUGAAAAAAAACAUCAAUUCGAUAUAACCGAUGAUAUUGGAAAAAAAUUUGCAACACUAUUUGGAUCACCCAAUAUAUAUACGUAUAAGGAAUGCAUGAUAUAACCUAUCUAUGUAGAUACAAUCAAUCCAAUAAAGAAGAGGAAGAAUACGAAGAUAUUUUUUAUAGUUAUUAAUUGUGAGUGACCCUGGGCCGUAGGACAAGCGAACUGGCCAAUUGGUCGACUCGGUGUAUAAAAAACCUUUGAUUUCUGGGAAAAAGAACGAGUAAAAUCGAGUAGAAAACGUGAGAGAGACCGUUCAGACAAGUAUAUGUCCAGACAAUAACAAGAAGACAAGUAUAAAAUGACUUAAUAAAAAAAAUUCAAGUAGUAAUAAUAAAGUGUCAUGCAACAGUGUUACAACAAUAGAUUAAUAAAAAAACAAACAGAGCGACUGCGCGUGCGCUUACGUGACAAUGACAAUGAGUAAUAUAGUAAUAAAAAUGCAUGUAUCUGCGCAAUCUCAAGAAGGGGAAAUGAGACGGACAUAGUAAAGACAAGAUAAAAGAGACGAACAGAGAUAUAGACAAAGAUAAAUACAUAAACAGUAAACUCGUAGUGUGUGGCGUCGAAUGGCCGGACGUCUUGAUAUUAGUCCAACAUCCCUACCAACAUAAUAACACUGUUAUCAGAGUUGUUCGCUGGAGGAUGACAAACAAAAAUAAAGGUAUAACGGGACUGUUGUGCAUUGUCUAUUUGAAACAACAUAACCAUAACAAAGUUCCAUCAACUUCGGUAAAAAUACAUCGAGCGAUAACGAAGCGAUCUGAAAAUUGCGUUGGCGGCCAUUAUGCUGACGUCACUGUGACGUAUUACUAUCUCAACCACGUCAACCAACUGGAACCUGUACGUAUUUAUGUAUUUUAGUAAAAAUCUCGAACAUCUGACGAGACUCGACUGAGAAAUAAGAGACAGACCGACAGGAGGAAAAUGAAUCGAGCCUAGUUCCAGUCUCAUGCACAGAUGGCGACACUGUCGACAAAGUGGAUACACGCUAAUAGAGUUUGGAGGGCUUUCCGAGAUGGCAGCGAGAUGCUAACCUCGGCAGAGAUGACUGAGAUUGGAAACUGUGGUAUAUUAUACGAAGCCAACUCCUGCCACUUCGCCCUUUCUCUCGCUCUGUCUCUCUCGCUCUCCCAUUCCUACUCGGCCCAUUGCCAAGACGCUGCCAGAGCACUCUUGUAUUUCCGCCUCUUCCUCAGCUCCGCUUUCCCACCCCGCUCACCACAACUUUUAGCCACUUCCUCUUAAUCUUCCUCUUAUUCACGAUGAGGUCGUACCACGUACGGCCGUCGCAAAAGCGCCGUGGCACGAGAUAGCUACAGGCCAGACAUACGGCCUUUUUCCAAGCUAACGGUGGGUGCCCGGAGGGGGAACAGAGAGAUUUAGGCCGUUGAUUUUAAUCGGCUCGAGGGACUCGACCAUUCAGCAAAAUUCCAGCGAAUGCUCGCGGAACUUGGAUCAUGAUUCGAGAGAGAGGCAAGAAGGAUCCAAGGUGCAAGACUGUGAUCGAGGUCGAAAAGAUGGCCGCGGGGAGGUGCUGUGGGACCUUGAGCGCAACCCUAGCGCCACACCACUACAAUAUGGAAUGGCUGCCUGCUCGCAGAUUGGCGCUUCGGAUAUACAACCCGUCAUUAUCGGUGUAGGCCGGAAGAUCAUCAACAGUGCGGACUAAUGAGUCAAUGGGUCAACGGGCCAAUGAGGUAAAGGACGCCGAGAGUAAUGCCAUGGGGGCUGAUCGUGAAAGGGGAGCUUUUAUAGGGGUUUGAGAACACACGAGGAGGUUAUGGCGCGAGAGACUUGGUUCGAGCAGCUGCCAAAAGCUUCGGCGUCCUUUUCAUCUGUACGUCGAGACGCUCGAGCGACGUCGAAUUAACGACUUUUGUCUUAAGAGCCUAGUCGAGGAUGGAUUCUUGGACUUAGAUUUUGACUGAAAGGUUCGUGACGAGUUGAUGACGACAUUGAAUUAAAGAAAAUUGAUGGGGGAGGCACAUAUGUUGUUACUCUACUUUGGGGUUACUGCUUUUUCUUUUUUCUUGAUAUUUAGCAAUUCCAAAUUUUUUAGUAGACAGGGAGAGGGGAGAGAGAGAGAGAGAGAGAGAGAGAGAGAGAGAGAGAGAGAGACAGUCGGUACCACGUGUCAACAGUAUUUAAAUUUUGGAUCGAUCUAAUGAAAAAUUAAUUUAUCGAUCUUCUGAUUGAACAAUCGAAUGAAAAUGUCUGCGAUCAAUUAAAGACGGGUGAUUAUUGAUUUUUGGAUAAUGCGAUAAGGAUUUACGAACACUAGCGUUCACUAUUGCUAAAUUAUAGCUCAGCCUUGUAAUUACACGUAGACACGUGUGCCCAUGUUCAGGCGAAUUUUUGCUAAGCUGUUUUUAUAUUUAUUUUAGUUUUCGAAAUGUGAAUACUACCCACACUAAUAGCGACAAUAACAAUGACUGACACGUAUUACGGUAAUGCAUGCGCGCGUAACCGUGGACGGUGCUACGUAUUCAGGAUUUGAAUUUUUUUGUUCCCAAAGCUUCCGGCAGAAAACCGACAAAAAAGCCAACGGCUAAGCGUUUCUUUCAUCCCUCGGAGGUGUCUCCAAGGUUUUAAGUGCGAUCGAUUAAAUUCGCUCCAGCAAAAAAGAAUAGCCGAGGGCACGGAUGCAUUGUUUCGCGGUGAAAAGGGACAAAAAAAAAGGGUGGAAAAAAUGUGAAAAAUAAAAAACAGGAAACCGUGUGAAACGAAAGAAAAAAAAGAAGACCCGAAGAAGCGAUCAGAUCCGAGGAUCAAGAUAAAAACGUGAAAAGUGCGUAACGCGUGUGCGACACGUGUGUAGAUAUAUUUCCGUGUGAAAGCAGGACUGGUAACAUAUAGAGGUAAGGAUGACCUAACCUAACGUUAAGAUGCGAUACGUCCUGUGCAUCUCUAUGUACACAUAUGUAGAGAUGCAGAUGCAACGUAGAGUCGGCAAGUAAGGUAAACACGAUAAUAAAGAUAAAAGAAA
This is a long non-coding RNA of Cephus cinctus (wheat stem sawfly), 8249 nucleotides long. RefSeq lists it as uncharacterized. The record is from RefSeq and is a predicted model, not a curated record. The transcript is spliced from 11 exons. Lineage: Eukaryota; Metazoa; Arthropoda; Insecta; Hymenoptera; Cephidae.